UACGUAGGCAGCAAGCGUUUGUUCGGAAUUACUGGGCGUAAAGAGUGUGUAGGCGGUGCUCCAAGUCUGGUGUGAAAUCUCUGGGCUCAACUCAGAGCCUGCAGGCGAAACUGCCGUGCUUGAGGGUGGGAGAGUGCGUGGAAUUCCCGGUGUAGCGGUAGAAAUGCGUAGAUAGUCGGGAGGAACACCUGUGGCGAAAGCGGCGCACUGGACCACAUCUGACGCUGAGGCGCGAAAGCUAGGGGAGCAAACAGG
This 255-nucleotide ribosomal RNA is filed under the name uncultured bacterium. RNAcentral's name for it is "partial 16S ribosomal RNA". It matches the Rfam family "Bacterial small subunit ribosomal RNA", at positions 524 to 776 of the family's 1533-position model. The record is from RNAcentral.